Molecule: non-coding RNA, 858 nt
Organism: Ictidomys tridecemlineatus (thirteen-lined ground squirrel)
Lineage: Eukaryota; Metazoa; Chordata; Mammalia; Rodentia; Sciuridae
Source: RefSeq, a predicted model, not a curated record
UAUCUGAGGAAAUGAAGUAACUUUACAAUGUGCUCUCCUUGGACAUCACCUUUGCUGUCAUAUUGUCUCAGGACUGUGCUCCUGCCAUGGUGAGUGAGCACCUUCCGGAGCAGCACCUGCCAAGAAACAACUGUUUUUGGAGAUCUCAAUGUGACAUCCUAGGAAACAGAUGAGCUGAAGAAAUACUGUCAUUUAAUCUGGGAGGUCAAAUUCAAGCUGUUGUGUGUAUUGCUUCUCUUGGCACUUCCUUUUUUUAAUCAUCUCUGGCACUGCCUGCCUCCUGUUCCAUGCUGCUACCAGAAAUAGCCCACUCAACAGCUGGUCUCUAAGGAAGAAGGCUGCUGAUGAUCUUGCAAUGUGACAUCUAUCCUGCAGGACCAGAUUGAACCUGUGUGCAUUUCUCCUUGCUGCCAAUUGAACUAAAGUGCGUGCUUUGAACAGCCAGGAGCAUGCAGUCCAAAGAAAAAAAAUCUCACCAACGUAUUCUCCAUAAGAGAACUCAGCAAUGCCAGACGGCAAGCACCUCAGCCCUAUGGUGGGGAGCCACCUUAGACAUUGAAAUCACUAACAAAGGCUCAAAAAUGCAACAAUAAAACACCAAAGAAACCACAAAAAGAACACCUGUUUACAGUCUGAGAACUGGUACAGGAAAGCAGAGCUUUACCUUGUUCACCCUCAGCUGUGAACAUGCAUAUAAGAAGAAUCAAGGUUUUUGCCUCUCUGUGCAUGUCCUCACAGAGCUCUCUGACUUUGAACCUAGUGAUCUUUCUGCUCCUCUACGCUGCUCAACUUUAGUAAUGAAGUCAACCUAGUAUGUAUUAUAUGGCAGGAUUACUUGUAAAGUCAAAGAAAUUGUCA